GAAGCGGCAAUAGCUCAAAUUUGAAAGCUGGCCCCCUUUGGGGUCCGCGUUGUAAUUUGUAGAGGAUGAUUCGGCGAGGGCUCCCGUCUAAGUCCCCUGGAACGGGGCGUCAUAGAGGGUGAGAAUCCCGUAUGUGAUGGGUUGCCUUAGCCAUGUGAAUCUCCUUCGACGAGUCGAGUUGUUUGGGAAUGCAGCUCUAAAUGGGAGGUAAAUUUCUUCUAAAGCUAAAUACCGGCCAGAGACCGAUAGCGCACAAGUAGAGUGAUCGAAAGAUGAAAAGCACUUUGGAAAGAGAGUUAAAAAGUACGUGAAAUUGUUGAAAGGGAAGCGCUUGCAGCCAGACUUGUCCGCAGUUGCUCAGCCGGUCUCCUGACCGGCGUACUCUUCUGCGGCCAGGCCAGCAUCAGUUCGGGCGGUCGGAUAAAGACCUCGGGAAUGUAGCUCCUCUCGGGGAGUGUUAUAGCCCGGGGUGGAAUGCGGCCAGCCUGGACUGAGGAUCUCGCUUCGGCUAGGAUGCUGGCGUAAUGGCUGUAAGCGGCCCG
This 542-nucleotide ribosomal RNA is filed under the name Dothiorella omnivora. RNAcentral's name for it is "partial large subunit ribosomal RNA". It matches the Rfam family "Eukaryotic large subunit ribosomal RNA", at positions 95 to 651 of the family's 3401-position model. The record is from RNAcentral. Lineage: Eukaryota; Fungi; Ascomycota; Dothideomycetes; Botryosphaeriales; Botryosphaeriaceae.